RNAcentral lists this long non-coding RNA (1406 nucleotides) under Bemisia tabaci. RNAcentral's name for it is "lncRNA ENSSSA1UGG013118". Lineage: Eukaryota; Metazoa; Arthropoda; Insecta; Hemiptera; Aleyrodidae. The record is from RNAcentral.
CGCGUCGCCGGCGAUAAUACGUGGAAUUUUUUAUCAGUUUUUAGCUUCGGUUUUUGUUUAUUUUCGUUCUUAGUAUUAAUUACCUGAUGAUGGCUUCCACAGAAGCCGAAAUGGCCAUCGUUUAAGUUUAAGUAGUGACAACCGAAAAAAUUCAUCGGGCGAAAAAGGAAGAAAGUAAGUCAAAAUUAGGAACCAUUAUUUUUCCGAAUUAUUGCAGAUUUUUCCUCAGUUAUGAUAUGAAAGAUGCUUUGAUUACUGUUACAGUUUUACCUACAGUCAAGAUGCCUCCUUCUAGAAUAUUGCACCAGGGUUGAAAAUUUAACUAGGACCAUGAACUUUACUGAACAUGGCCCAAAAUUCCAAAAACAACUUUUAAAGAUUUACUUUGCUAAGCGGAUACCUUUGACAAAAGGUGGGGGAUCCGGGAUCUCAAAUGAACUUCCUGAAAAUUGUAAUCAAGAUUCACUUCCUUUGACUUUCUAAUUCCAGGACUUUCUCGGAGUUCAAAGAGAGAAUUCAAGAUGGAUUUUACAAAGAUAAAGGAUUUUUUGGGUUCAGGGAUCUCGUUGGCCCGAGGGUGAGUUGAAAAUUAAAUUCAUUGUAACUAAACUUACUAUAAUUUUUUAUGUCACUAUACACCCACUAGAAGUGAUGAACUGCGUGUGCACUGCACACUUGAAAUAAUUGUUCAAGCAUAAGUAUUACAGUAAAGCCUAAAGUGUAUUAUGUUCUGUUCUUUCCCUCCUGAAAUGUGAGCUGCGACUACUACAUCACAAACACACCACUUAAAAAAUUAUUUCUCUUUCAGUUUCCUUUUUUCCCUCAAUAGCUAUCCCUUUGUAUAUUUUAAUUCACAGUAACAUGAUUAAUAUAAUAAGAAAACUGAACUUUGAGAAUUACACUGCAAACACAAAAAGCAAACCAGAACACGUAUAGAAUAUGGUCUUUAAAAAUUCCCCUAGUCAAAUUGUUUUCCAAUAGGAAAAUGUUUUAAAACUAAUGAAUAGUUUACAUAUUUUUCAGCUCGAACUUGAUUUUGUGCUACCAUUUGUGAAGUUACCAAUUUUUGGCGUGGGGCCACUCAUAGAGUUGGAUGCCCAGUCCAUCACUGCUGCCUUUACUGCCAUAGUCUUUCUGUACAUUGUUCCGAAGCUCCUCUUUCUACUGUAUCCCAACUACCAGCUUCCUCCAGCGCCUGCAGCGGGACCCGAUAGAGGGGAAAGAUCGUUCGACAUGCCAUUCGAUCUCCACUCGGUUGAAGAAUUCUUGAGAACUUACGUGAUGCCGGUGGAUUCUUGCUCCUCGGCCAAUUCGUCUUACAUGAACAUGAAUAUAACCUCAAUCAAUCCAAACAAAAAAUCUGUGAAAUUUUAUCCUUUGAAUAAAACCGAUUAUGAUGAGCAGUG